RNAcentral lists this microRNA precursor (102 nucleotides) under Marmota monax (woodchuck). The record is from RNAcentral. Lineage: Eukaryota; Metazoa; Chordata; Mammalia; Rodentia; Sciuridae.
CGUGGUAUAGCUGAGUCAAAUGGUGGUUCCAUUCCAGUUUUCUAAGGAAUCUCCAUAUUGCUUUCCAAAGUGGAUUCACCAAUUUGCUGUCCCCCCAGCAAU